Non-coding RNA from Podarcis lilfordi (Lilford's wall lizard), 77 nucleotides. The record is from the annotation of a GenBank genome assembly. NCBI's taxonomy places the organism in Eukaryota, Metazoa, Chordata, Lepidosauria, Squamata, Lacertidae.
GCUUUGGACAUUAGCUCAGUUGGUAGAGCAUGAGACUCUUAAUCUCACAGUAACGAGUUCGAGCCCCAGGUUGGGCA